Molecule: ribosomal RNA, 292 nt
Filed under: uncultured prokaryote
Description: partial 16S ribosomal RNA
Rfam family: Bacterial small subunit ribosomal RNA
Source: RNAcentral
GUGCCAGCAGCCUCGGUAAUACUGAGUGUGCGCUCGUUAAUCGGAAUUACUGGGCGUAACGCGCAUGCAGGCGGCCUGUUAAGUCAGAUGUGAAAGCCCGGGGCUUAACCUCGGAAUUGCAUUUGAAACUGGCAGGCUAGAGUCUUGUAGAGGGGGGUAGAAUUUCAGGUGUAGCGGUGAAAUGCGUAGAGAUCUGAAGGAAUACCAGUGGCGAAGGCGGCCCCCUGGACAAAGACUGACGCUCAGAUGCGAAAGCGUGGGGAGCAAACAGGAUUAGAUACCCCCGUAGUCC